CCCAGGUGGGAUUAGCUAGUAGGUGAGGUAAAGGCUCACCUAGGCGACGAUCCCUAGCUGGUCUGAGAGGAUGAUCAGCCACACUGGGACUGAGACACGGCCCAGACUCCUACGGGAGGCAGCAGUGGGGAAUAUUGCACAAUGGGGGAAACCCUGAUGCAGCCAUGCCGCGUGUGUGAAGAAGGCCUUCGGGUUGUAAAGCACUUUCAGCGAGGAGGAAAGGGUGUAAGUUAAUACCUUACAUCUGUGACGUUACUCGCAGAAGAAGCACCGGCUAACUCCGUGCCAGCAGCCGCGGUAAUACGGAGGGUGCGAGCGUUAAUCGGAAUUACUGGGCGUAAAGCGUGCGCAGGCGGUUUGUUAAGCGAGAUGUGAAAGCCCCGGGCUCAACCUGGGAACCGCAUUUCGAACUGGCAAACUAGAGUCUUGUAGAGGGGGGUAGAAUUCCAGGUGUAGCGGUGAAAUGCGUAGAGAUCUGGAGGAAUACCGGUGGCGAAGGCGGCCCCCUGGACAA
RNAcentral lists this ribosomal RNA (514 nucleotides) under Shewanella sp. Its description in RNAcentral is "bacterial SSU rRNA". It matches the Rfam family "Bacterial small subunit ribosomal RNA", at positions 230 to 736 of the family's 1533-position model. The record is from RNAcentral. Lineage: Bacteria; Pseudomonadati; Pseudomonadota; Gammaproteobacteria; Alteromonadales; Shewanellaceae.